This 542-nucleotide long non-coding RNA is filed under the name Numida meleagris (helmeted guineafowl). RNAcentral describes it as "lncRNA (ENSNMEG00000008226.1)". The record is from RNAcentral. Lineage: Eukaryota; Metazoa; Chordata; Aves; Galliformes; Numididae.
GCAGCCAUCAUUCACCUUCAUCUGCAGCACUUUGCCAGAGCAACAGAUUGCAGAUACAUGGACUUCUCUACCUGCAGGCUAUGCACACUAGUACAGCGGUGUGAUAAGAGCUUCUCCGUGCCCUUCUCUCAAGUGUCCCUGAUGUUAGGAGCUUCGGAAUGCUUGAAUGACUCAUCACUGUGCAUAUUGAAAGGAGCAGAGCUCAAAGAAGAGCCAUUGGAUUCCUGUGGCACAGUUAUGAAGGGAGAAGUUGGAAGAAGAUUGUGAGUAGUAAGCCAGAUCAGAAAUAACUGUCAAAGGAAAACCAUGGAAAGCUACAACAGCCUUCUGUCAUUCUGUACUAAUUGGGAAAUAUUUACCCUUAGCACCUGCUGACAGUACAGCAGAGACACCUGUAUCCAGGUGGUUGUUUUAAGUUCAUAAGGUGACACUGAGAAUCGAGAAACAUAUGUCAAAGACCUAGAGGUUAAUUCUGCUAUUGCAUAUAGAAGACAUAUCUCUAAUGAUACCAUGUGGUAAAAUUGAUCAAAGAGUGUUCUUUU